Uranotaenia lowii is the source of this 1101-nucleotide long non-coding RNA. RefSeq lists it as uncharacterized. NCBI's taxonomy places the organism in Eukaryota, Metazoa, Arthropoda, Insecta, Diptera, Culicidae. The record is from RefSeq and is a predicted model, not a curated record. The transcript has 4 exons.
ACAGGAGUUUGUUUUUUUUUCGGGCGGUCGCGAUUUCAAAACGUUUACGCGGAUCGCUUGCGUUUUCGGAACAUUUGCAUUCCGUUUUCACCUGGUGGUUCCUUCAUCAAAUGAAACGGACGGCUUCUGUGCUGAAUGGUGGUUUUAGGUGUUCCCGAGGAAUUAUAUUUCCCGAGUAUUGUUUGACCUUGCUGCUCCGGAGCUGCUGCUGUCUAUCGUUGCCGCCCCCGACUCCACUUGCCCAUCUGGCUUGACCACCCCCAAGGCCACUCGUCCGUGGCCUUAGAGGAAGAAGCGGAACGGCCUAUAAGAUUUCCAAGGCAAAAAACUGUAGGGUUUCCGCAAAUCAACCAGCUUCUUAAGAUUAUUCAAUCUGGAUGGUCACACCGUAGGUCAAGCACCCUUUUCUUCCCCAUCUGGUUGGUAGAAACCUGUUUGGAAUGGCUGCACCGACAAAACAAAACCCUUAAUUAAUUAAGUGCAAAGUGGGCUGCAGAUUAUCCGGAAAAUAGGGAAGAAGCCGUUCUGGAUUCGUGUUGCAUUCCGUCAUCUUUUUUUCUGCCCCUGCUAGUGGAUAUCUGUUUAAAAAUCACACUUAUGUUAUGCCGAUAUCGAUUGUCAUUUGGCCCCACUGUCUCUCUGAUCCAGAUUCAGACCGCUUUCAGUCUGCCGGGGGGGCAUAAAAAUGACAGUUUUCGUUGCGUCGCUAGAGGUGGAAAAUCGUUGCCGGAAAGACUGUUUCUUCGUGUUUGCCAAAAAAAAAGAGCUCAAGAUUUUCAAAAUUCAUACAUCUUUUGGAAGAGCUACUAAUGAUAUGCGGGCAAACAUUGUACAUCGUAAUGGAAUCAUGUGGAUAUCAGCCGGUGCAUGUCUCAAGCACCGAGGAAAUUAUGGAGAGAGAUUCGUUUUUGGUAGCAUAAGGAGAAAAAGAUUCCGGAAGACGCGAUUCAUGGAUGGCUCAUAUAUCAAUAUUUUCGGUAUCCAUGGAACGCCUUCAUGUUUCGGAAAACACCAGCGGGAUUAUGCAUCCUUCAGACGGUUGCGUUGUUGUGGUUGCUGUAGAUCAAGGACAACGCCUUGUAAUUACCCCUCACCUAAGCG